RNAcentral lists this transfer RNA (65 nucleotides) under Notocotylus intestinalis. RNAcentral's name for it is "tRNA-Thr". The record is from RNAcentral. Lineage: Eukaryota; Metazoa; Platyhelminthes; Trematoda; Plagiorchiida; Notocotylidae.
GAAAGGGUAGUUUAGGAAAAAUACUGUUUUUGUAAAACAGAGAUACUUGUUGAAAGUUUCUUUCA